This 410-nucleotide ribosomal RNA is filed under the name Verrucomicrobiota bacterium. RNAcentral's name for it is "Verrucomicrobia bacterium partial 16S ribosomal RNA". It matches the Rfam family "Bacterial small subunit ribosomal RNA", at positions 355 to 776 of the family's 1533-position model. Lineage: Bacteria; Pseudomonadati; Verrucomicrobiota. The record is from RNAcentral.
UGGGGAAUCUUGCACAAUGGGCGAAAGCCUGAUGCAGCGACGCCGCGUGCGGGAUGAAGGCCUUCGGGUUGUAAACCGCUUUCAGCAGGGACGAGGCCGCAAGGUGACGGUACCUGCAGAAGAAGCCCCGGCUAACUACGUGCCAGCAGCCGCGGUAAUACGUAGGGGGCUAGCGUUGUCCGGAAUCACUGGGCGUAAAGGGUUCGCAGGCGGAAAUGCAAGUCAGGUGUAAAAGGCAGUAGCUUAACUACUGUAAGCAUUUGAAACUGCAUAUCUUGAGAAGAGUAGAGGUAAGAGGAAUUUUUAGUGUAGCGGUGAAAUGCGUAGAUAUUAAAAAGAAUACCGGUGGCGAAGGCGACUUACUGGGCUCAUUCUGACGCUGAGGAACGAAAGCGUGGGUAGCAAACAGG